Apis cerana (Asiatic honeybee) is the source of this 7130-nucleotide long non-coding RNA. RefSeq lists it as uncharacterized. The record is from RefSeq and is a predicted model, not a curated record. Lineage: Eukaryota; Metazoa; Arthropoda; Insecta; Hymenoptera; Apidae.
UCGACCACUGUUCGUUCGUUUCGUUGGUAUUACGUUUUGGAUGAUCGUCGCCUGUUCCGAACGAAUCGAUUAUUCCCUCCCGAAAUCGUGCGAAUUGAAAAGCGGAACGCACUCUCGACGCAACGUCGCGACUCGAGAAAUGGAAGAGUUCGUAACGAAAAGACGACACGUAGCGCCACCUACCGGUUCGAUUCUGUAAUUACCCGAUGGCGUUUCAGGACGGUGUAUUUCCUUCAAUGUUUCCGCUACGAGAGAGCGCAUUCGCGCAUAGAACAAGAAGCAAUCGAAAUAUCUCGUUUCCUCCGUUGGCCCCGAGGAAAAUUCAACGAGAUUGAAAUAAUUAAUUACUCGCCUCGCAGCGCAAUGUAUAGAUAAAGCAAGUACAUAAAGAGAUUGGCGCGGCGGCGAUUGUUCAACGAGGGAAACGAAUCUUUCAAGAAAGAAAGAAGGAAGGAAAGGACGUUCGUGUAUCGUCGUGGGAGCAUUUUAGCAAGGAGGGGAAGCGCGCUAUUUCGAGGAAUCGAGUUAGUUAGGAGGAGCGGCACGUCGAGGGAUUUAUCUUGGAUGGAGUGUGUGGACGGUUUAAGAGGAUGGAGGAGCGGAUUCGCCUCCUUUUGGCUGGACGUUCGCGGAUUCGCUUCAUUCACCGGAUGAGCUUCAAUCACACGUGGAUAGUGGUGAUGGCGGUGGUGGUGGUGGGUCAAGCCGAGGUGAACCGAGGCGAAUCGUCCUCGUCCGGAGGAAACCUCGCACGCUUACCAAACUUGCCAUACCUUCCCUCUUGUUAGCUCUCUCUCUCUACAACCAGUGGCCGGAAGCGAAAGAGAUAUCUCGCCAACCGCGAAUACUUCCAAUUCUCCUCGACCAAGAUAAAUCUGUCUCCUCUCGCGUGGGACUAAACCCACGAUUUAUUCCCGCGACUUUAGUUUCACCGAUGGAUUCAUACAGGUCACGGCCAGGUGUCGAAGAAGGCCGGUGAAGCUUGCAGACGAAUCGAUCGAGCAACGAUCCAUAAACGAUUUGCGAACGGGAUAUAUUCGAAACCGGGAGGAAAUAUAAGCGUUGAAACGGAUAUUAUUGCGUCGACAAGGGCAAGAAAAGGGGUGCCAACGAAUGGCCCAACGAGAUGCCCGCAAUUCGGGUAAUGCGCCGUUGUAACGAGCUUGCGGCUAGCCUCGAUUCCGCCGCCAAUAAAUAAAGAUCAAAGUAACCUCUUCUUUCCCCGCCACUCUCAAUCGAUCGAUAAAAUCGCAAUUCCCUUCGAAUUUACACUUUGGAAACAAUAUCACUUACCGAUAAACGGGCAGACUCGCGAGCAUGUGAAAAUUUUGUUUCGAUCGCAAAAGUGUAUCACUAUUUUCGUACACAAGUACGAGAGCGAGAAUUGAGAGAAUCGAAAAUGUACGAAUUUAAUCUCCCUCGUGGAGGGAACGAUCUCUACCUCUCGUCCUAAUUAUCUCGAAUAAACUUGAACUCGAAUCAGAGAGACAUAGACGGGUUAAAUCGCGACGAAUAACCCUUCCCCUCCCCGGGAAAGUAUCUUGGCAAACCUCGAGGAGUCUCCCUCGAAACGGUUGAAUCAGCCUUGUGUGAAAAUUUAAACAGCCCUUCCGUCACAUUUGUCGAAAUACUUAUGGCGCGAGCGUAACUUUGUUUGCUCAAAAUUUAUCGCGCGAAACGAACGAAUCCCCCCGCUUUCCAUCGCCACAAGAAUAGACGUUAUUAUUUCACGUAUCGAGGAAAUGCCACGAAUAUCAAGAUAAACUAGCUCCCCCUAGCGCGCGUGUUUUAUCUCGAAGAAUAACGGCUUCUCUCUUUCCCUCUCUCUCGUCCCCAUAAGUUGCACACGUAACUACGCGUAAACCGCGUGUGAACCGUGUUUCAAGGUUUUUCGUCGCGGCAGACGAGAGCCGUAUAAAAAUAAGUUGCGCGUGUAACGCGUUUACGAAUUCGAGACGUGAGUGAAUUUCCAACUUUAUUAUUUUUGACGAAGCGGCGAUGAUAAUUGGAGGCGAUAACCGAGAGAAAAGGAGAGAUCGGAGGAAAUGGCGAUCGAUGGGAGACGCGACGGAUGUGGCUCGUGUCCGCGGGAUAUUGUGUCAAAGCGAAACGUCGUGUGGGGCGUUAACGUCAUAUCAAAAGCCUUAUUGAUCUUAAUUAAGUGGUCUCUAUACUUAAUGGUCGAAUAUCGAUCGGUUUAGCUACGCCCCUCGCCUGUGAUGGGUCAACGAUCCCUUCUCGCGAAUCGCGAAUGAUCGAUGGCGAACGUCAUCGGGGACCGACCACCAUCCGGUGAUUUAUCGGUUUCGAUCGGCGCCUGUAAUACGUUGUCGUCCUUCCACCGAGCGCACUGUCUUCGGCUUCAUCCAUUUCUCUCGCGAGGCUCUUAUACAGGGUGUUUAUGAAAAUGUGGCACAGCUUUGGAGACUGGAUCCUAGACGUCAAAAAGAUGAAAAAAGUUCAUAUACGCGUUUGUUCGAUAAGAUUUAAUUAAUGGGUUAUUAUAAGCAUUUAAACUUUGUAUUAGAUAGAGUGAGAACGCUAAGCUGGCAGUACCGUAGUGUAAUUAAGUGGAACCCCUCACUGAAAGUAAAUAUAUUGAUUUUCGGUAAAUAAACAGAUUGAGUAUCCUACGACAAUUCAACUAUAGAUUUAAAUAAUAUGUUUGUAUCGUGGAUUUAAGUAAAGUGAUGUAUAUGUUAAUAUUCUGGAAUUUGCUAAAACUUAUUCGAGAUAAAUGGUAAAUAAUAUGUAUAUUAUGUUAUAUUAAAAUGUAUUUGAAAUAAUCAAUUGUAUAUAAAAAAAUAUAUUUACUUUUAUCAAGGGGCUCCGAUACGAUAUUGGCACGCACCCAGCUGAGCUUUAUUUAAUAAGUUAAUAUAAAGUUAAAAUAUAUAACUCAUUAAUAAAGCCUUAUCGAACAUGAGUAUAUGAACUUUUUUUAUCCUUUCGAUGUUUAGAAUCUAACCUCCUAAGGUGUUUCACAUUUUUAUAAACGUCUUUUAUAUAUAUAUUAGACGAUUCGAAGGAUCGAUUGGAUUUUGGAUUCACUGUUCGAAAAGUAAUUUCAUUUUUUUUCACGACAAUAAAACACUAAGUCAUUUCAUGCGAUUACGAACAAUCGAAUUCGACGAGUUCGAUUUCGUAGCAAUUUCUCGAGUCGUUGUUCGUUGGUUGCUUCGAUUGGCCUUUAUUUUAUCUUCAUGUGAUGAACAAAAUUUCAAAAACCACUGGCAUCUUGACACUGGCGUACCGUUGAUACACUUUUCUAUACACUUCGCGUUACUUUUUUCUUACCUGAACGGCAUUCCUAACCUUUUCGGUAAUAAAAAAGUAAAACACACCGAAAAUAUUCCUCUUAGUCUCGCAUCUUCGUUAUCGCACACGAGAAACACAACCGCACAACAAAAUCGAACGAAUUUUUUUUAUAAUCUAAAUAUAAUAAAUCAUGAAAUGCCAACUCUCAAAAUAUAUAACAACACGGUUUAGAACGAAGUUGGUUGUAAAUAAACGUUCGACACGUAGCGACGCUUGUAUAAAAAAACGAAAUUACUUUCCAAACCACCUAAUAUCAUAUAUCUAGCAUAUAUUUAGCGUUUUAUCAUUAUCGAGAUUUAUUGGACAGUAUUAAUUUCGGCAAAUUAAUACGCGGAGAAUAGGCGGGAGAAUAAAAUCGGGAAAAACGUAGCGUAGAAUAAAUUUGGGAUUCGGAUGUGGGAAUGGUUGACGCAGCGACGAGUGAAGCGAAGUUUGCGCCGAUCGGAGCGUUUUCGCUAUGUCUAAUACAAACUUAAAAUAACUGGUUAAAUAAACCUUAUUGGUCGUACACAUACACGAACUUUUUUUAUCCUUUUGAUGUGUAGAAUCCAAAGGUGUCCCACAUUUUUAUAAAUGUAUACUCUGUAUAUUUACGAAUUCUGUCCUUUGCUCCUCCUCACUUUUUCGCAAUACUUGGCGUUUUUGAAUUACGAUGAGAAAUGUGCUUUGAUCGGCCAUGCAAAUUCCCUUCCAGGCGAAAAUCCUGAAGAAAAGUCGAGAGAAAAAUUGAGAAAGGUGGGAAGCUGAUCAUCGCCGAGUCGUCGUUUCUGUUUAAACUGUCACUAAAAAUCGGCAUUUCUCUACCCGUUUCUCCAUUUUCCAUGUAACGAGCAAUAACUUUUCUUCGUACCGAUAUCCAUCCGUGUGCGCGCCUCCACAGAUGAAAUAUUAUUACGAUCCAAUUUGCAUAUCUACCGGCUACCUACGCUCGCGCGAAACGCGCAAUCAAGAAUCUAAUCAAAAUCUCACGAGCAAAAAAUAUUCUUCGUCAGACAGAGAAACUAUAUAAUAUAUAUAUAUAUAUAUGUAUACUUUUUCUUUUUCUUUUUUCUUUUUACACUUUUUUAACUAAAUCACGAUCGCUCGGAUGUUGGUGGAAAUUAAACGAAGAGAAGGGAAAAAUUGAACGGAAAAAGAUACGGGAAAUUCCAGGUUUACGAGGUCGAGCAAGCAACGGUGAUACAUAGUUAUUUUCGAGAGUAGCGUAAGUCCCGGAUAUCGUUAUCACGGUUCGUCUCCUUAUCUUUCUAAGCUCGGGGAAGUUAAAAAAAAAAGAAAGAAAGAAAGAAAGAAAAAGAAACGCGAUAGAAUCUGAAAUUUCCUCUCCACCUUUUUUUUCCCUUACGAUAUCGCGCCAUAUGUUACGUGCCGAGCCAUUUUUAUCCUUGGCCGAUAUCGAUCAUCGCUUGAUCAUCUUUCUCUCGUUUUUUUUUUUUUUUUUUGCUUUUUUGCCCUCUCUCUUUUUCUCAUCGAUUUCCCUUCUCCUCCCUUUCAUUUAUAUAUAUUUCACGGACAGAAACGAGCGCGGGUUGGAAGCGAUUGCCGCGAUAUUAUCGAGUCGAGUGGAAAUAGAAUCUUUGUUCUUUUUUUUUCUUUCCACGAUUUCCCGGACGACGGUCCAACGACGACUAUUACAGCUAGGAUUAAUUAAAAUCGAUGCGCUCGAGAUCGAAGGAGGGUGAAAACGCGGUUGGGUCACCGUUGACCCAACUCCUCCGGACCGAGUCCAUUCGCGCUUUAUCAGUGUCAAUGGAUUUAACGCUAAUUUCAUUCGCGUUACGGGCGUCGUUUCUAUUUGCAAUUCAAACAGGCCACCGAUUCUCCGCCCCUCGUUACGACGACAAUAUGCGCAUAAUCUAUUUUAUAUCGCGCGAUGAUAAUUUAUAACGCGAUCGAUAUCGAUCAGUGAAGUCGAAACGAUGAUUGUGUCUAUGAUGUUCCAUUAGGUACGCGCAAACAAGUUCCUUCCCCCUCUUUUUCCACGAUCUAACUUGCGACCGAAUUCGAAUUAGUUCGUGGCGCCAUCUGAAACAGCGUUCUUUCGUUUUUAAUACGUCGACUGCCGCGCAUUCGAGUGACCUUUAUUCGAUUAUUUACGAACGAUCUUCGUAGAUAUUUGAAAAGAUAUUCGACAGGUAAUAAAAUUAUUGAAUUGUUAUGAAAGUGAUACAAAAAUGGUUUAGUAAAAAAAUUAUUUAGAACGUAAAACUUUAAAACAUUCUAUACAAACUGAAGUUAAUCGGGACAAAAAGUUAUUCGCUGUAUAUCUGCUAUAUGAUUCACUAGGACGUAACUCUUCCACUUUUCUUUACGACACUGGAACGAAUUAGAAAUUUUAACAGUUAUACCACUCGUUGCUUGGUAAAGAUUCGAAGAGUGGCGUGUUCAUACAGAGUGACGAGAUGACAAGUGAGGACCUCUGGAAUGUAACGAUGGAAACAAAUGAUGCGGGAGAUUAUUCUUACGACGACCAGCGACUCACAUUAUUAAAAUAUCGAUGGAAGAACCUAGCAUUUGGUACAACGGCACGCGUGGCCCGAAGGAGAUUUCGUUGAAAUCACGCACGACAGUCAACGCGUUAAGAAGAGUCGCGACUACUGUAACAGUUUCCAGUCCUGUGCAACGAUUUCAAACGAUACGGCGCGCGAGAAGGUUAGGAAAUUGGCUGUCAAAACUACCGAAACGGUUUGCGUGUCACUGGCAGAGAACGCUGUAUCUUACGGAACAUGUGAAAAGGAGUGGAAAAAUAAGAGAAAAAAUUUAUUCACACCUAAUAUGUAUAUUACGUGUAAUGAUAAUUCACCAAUCUCCAUUCGCUGAAUUAUAUUUUCCACGUGAGUCUAGCGUAUCUUCUCGAAGUCGAUCGACAAAUCAAACUAAAAGGUAAUAAUUCACAUUCGAUUCUUUAAGCCUCUUUCCUUACGUUGCGGAUUCCAGUUUCAGACAGAUAUAAAAUAUUUUCGAAUACUUCGACAGAAUGAAUAAAUAUGAGUUGGAAGAAAAGAGAGAUUAAACGAGGAAACGAAACUCUGUUACCUUUCAAUUUGCAUCCACGAAGGAAGGGAGAAGCUGCGACUCGACCUUCGAUUUAUCGAACAGGCUAAUUAAGAUCGCGAAUGCGAUGCUCGAGUUUCCGCUCCCAGAGCAGACGGGCAGGCGCAAUAGGUAAUUACGGAUGGAUCCGAAACAGUGGUUAAUUAACGAGGCUUCUUCGAUGCCGGACACGUUCGCGCCCCUCCCCCGAUACUUCCACGUACAUUUCACGAAUUCCGGAAACAUAGCGUUCUCCUAAACCCCGCAAAAUCAGCGAAAUUUCUUCUUACCAUCUCCCUUUGCCGUCGCCAAAUCGUGAAUUCGAUUCUUCUUCGUCUUUUCGCCGCUUCUCUCCCCUCUCCCCUUCCGGUUUCUAGUUUUCGCGAAUCCGUUAGACCAUCCGUUUCGUCGCUAAUUACCGCGUCAAUUAGACGGAACGACAUCCUCGAGGAUGGCAGCCAGGUGUGUUUAAAGUACGCAAUUUUGUCGGGUAGCCGAGGCGAGGCGAGACGAGGAGGGGGGAGAAAUGGCGCGAUGAAAUACCGAGAGAUGCGGCUCUCGAGAGUCGACGGGGCAAAGAGGAGCUAGCGGAGACCUCUGAGGGGGCUCGUUAUCCGUGUGUACGAGGCUCAGACAAACAGCCUCAUUUGUCACGCGCUGACCUCCCUACCGACCUUCCUCUUCCUCCUCCUCCUCCUUGCCUCUUUUACACCACUUCUUACCUUGUCUACGCCGGUUGUUUGCAAUUUUUCCCCCUCAUCGAAUCGAGUAAAUAUAUU